RNAcentral lists this transfer RNA (66 nucleotides) under Lycodon flavozonatus (big-tooth snake). RNAcentral describes it as "tRNA-His". It matches the Rfam family "tRNA". From Rfam's summary of the family: Transfer RNA (tRNA) molecules are approximately 80 nucleotides in length. Their secondary structure includes four short double-helical elements and three loops (D, anti-codon, and T loops). The record is from RNAcentral. Lineage: Eukaryota; Metazoa; Chordata; Lepidosauria; Squamata; Colubridae.
GUGCGCGUAAUUUAAAAAAAAUAUCAAGCUGUGACCUUGACAAUAGGGGUUAACCCCUCACACACC